This 253-nucleotide ribosomal RNA is filed under the name uncultured bacterium. RNAcentral describes it as "partial 16S ribosomal RNA". It matches the Rfam family "Bacterial small subunit ribosomal RNA", at positions 524 to 776 of the family's 1533-position model. The record is from RNAcentral.
UACGGAGGAUCCAAGCGUUAUCCGGAUUUAUUGGGUUUAAAGGGUGCGUAGGCGGCCUGUUAAGUCAGGGGUGAAAGACGGUAGCUCAACUAUCGCAGUGCCCUUGAUACUGAUGGGCUUGAACUGACUAGAGGUAGGCGGAAUGUGACAAGUAGCGGUGAAAUGCAUAGAUAUGUCACAGAACACCGAUUGCGAAGGCAGCUUACUAUGGUCUUAUUGACGCUGAGGCACGAAAGCGUGGGGAUCAAACAGG